AGAGUUUGAUCCUGGCUCAGAACGAACGCUGGCGGCAGGCCUAACACAUGCAAGUCGAGCGCACCCUUCGGGGCGAGCGGCGGACGGGUUAGUAACGCGUGGGAACAUACCCUUUUCUACGGAAUAGCCUCGGGAAACUGAGAGUAAUACCGUAUAAGCCCUUCGGGGGAAAGAUUUAUCGGGAAAGGAUUGGCCCGCGUUAGAUUAGAUAGUUGGUGGGGUAAUGGCCUACCAAGUCUACGAUCUAUAGCUGGUUUUAGAGGAUGAUCAGCAACACUGGGACUGAGACACGGCCCAGACUCCUACGGGAGGCAGCAGUGGGGAAUCUUAGACAAUGGGCGCAAGCCUGAUCUAGCCAUGCCGCGUGUGUGAUGAAGGCCUUAGGGUCGUAAAGCACUUUCGCUAGGGAUGAUAAUGACAGUACCUAGUAAAGAAACCCCGGCUAACUCCGUGCCAGCAGCCGCGGUAAU
Molecule: ribosomal RNA, 470 nt
Filed under: uncultured bacterium
Lineage: Bacteria
Description: bacterial SSU rRNA
Rfam family: Bacterial small subunit ribosomal RNA
Source: RNAcentral